RNAcentral lists this ribosomal RNA (443 nucleotides) under uncultured bacterium. RNAcentral describes it as "partial 16S ribosomal RNA". It matches the Rfam family "Bacterial small subunit ribosomal RNA", at positions 338 to 795 of the family's 1533-position model. The record is from RNAcentral.
CCUACGGGAGGCUGCAGUAGGGAAUCUUGCGCAAUGUGCGAAAGCCUGAUGGAGCAACGCCGCGUGAAGGAAGAAGGUUUUCGGGUUGUCAACCCCUUUUGUCAGGGAAGAAGCAAGUGAAGGUAACUGACGCAUAUGCCGCGGCUACCUACGUACAAGCAGCAGCGGAAAUACGUAGGUGCAACGCGUUAUUCGGCUUGAUUGGGUGGAAAGUGCGUGUAGGCGGGGAGGCAAGGCCGAUGUGACAGCCACGGGCUCAACCUGAGGCCUGCAUUUGAAACUGUUUGACUUGAGUGUUGGAGAGGCGAUCGGAAUUCCAGGUGUAGCGGUGAAAUGCGUAGAUAGACGGAGGAACACCAGUGGCGAAGGCGGAUUUCUGGACAGUAACUGACGCUGAGGCUCGAAAGCGUGGGGAGCAAACAGGAUUAGAUACCCUUGUAGUC